GCUGUAGGGCUGCAACAACGAAUCGAUAAAAAUCGAUUACUGAAAGCGUUGGCAACGAAUUUGGUCAUCGAUUCGUUGAGUCGCGCGAUUAAUACGCCACUCGUUGGUUCAUUCAUGCACGCCCACAGCGAGCUUUAGUGUGAGCGACCACAGCUUGUAUUUUGUUCAUACCUUAACACUGGACUGUAAGCCUAUAUAAAAGUGUUGUACCUUCACUGUCUUAGGGUUAAAAAAACUCCUUCAACUCCGUAUCCCUAGUCUAGUCCAACCGAAAACUCUGUCAGCUGCUGCUGCUGCAGACGGUGUGCAGACGGGCUCGGAGUUCAAAGCAGCGGUAGCAAUCACACAACCGGACGGUGUAGAAAGUCCCGUCAGUUAAAAAUAAUAAUCCCGUUUUUAAAUUCAUGCUAAAAUCGGCAGGACAUAGAGCUAGUUAGCUUAAAAAAAAAGUCGCAAACAGUGUCAAAUAUGAUGUGUUCAGAUCGGCUCAAUAUUAUGAUUGAUGCGUUCAAAUGCAA
Molecule: long non-coding RNA, 518 nt
Organism: Gadus macrocephalus (Pacific cod)
Lineage: Eukaryota; Metazoa; Chordata; Actinopteri; Gadiformes; Gadidae
Exons: 2
Source: RefSeq, a predicted model, not a curated record